CCUACGGGAGGCAGCAGUGGGGAAUUUUGGACAAUGGGGGCAACCCUGAUCCAGCCAUGCCGCGUGAGUGAAGAAGGCCUUCGGGUUGUAAAGCUCUUUCGGCCGGGAAGAAAUCGGCGGUCCUAAUACGAUCGCUGGAUGACGGUACCGGACUAAGAAGCACCGGCUAACUACGUGCCAGCAGCCG
RNAcentral lists this ribosomal RNA (187 nucleotides) under uncultured Thauera sp. RNAcentral describes it as "partial 16S ribosomal RNA". It matches the Rfam family "Bacterial small subunit ribosomal RNA", at positions 338 to 517 of the family's 1533-position model. Lineage: Bacteria; Pseudomonadati; Pseudomonadota; Betaproteobacteria; Rhodocyclales; Zoogloeaceae. The record is from RNAcentral.